This 515-nucleotide ribosomal RNA is filed under the name uncultured bacterium. RNAcentral describes it as "bacterial SSU rRNA". It matches the Rfam family "Bacterial small subunit ribosomal RNA", at positions 28 to 524 of the family's 1533-position model. The record is from RNAcentral.
UGAUGAACGCUGGCGGCGUGCCUAAUACAUGCAAGUCGAGCGAACAGAUAAGGAGCUUGCUCCUUUGACGUUAGCGGCGGACGGGUGAGUAACACGUGGGUAACCUACCUAUAAGACUGGGACAACUUCGGGAAACCGGAGCUAAUACCGGAUAAUAUGUUGAACCGCAUGGUUCAAUAGUGAAGGAUGGUUUUGCUAUCACUUAUAGAUGGACCUGCGCCGUAUUAGCUAGUUGGUGAGGUAACGGCUCACCAAGGCAACGAUACAUAGCCGACCUGAGAGGGUGAUCGGCCACACUGGAACUGAGACACGGUCCAGACUCCUACGGGAGGCAGCAGUAGGGAAUCUUCCGCAAUGGGCGAAAGCCUGACGGAGCAACGCCGCGUGAGUGAUGAAGGUCUUAGGAUCGUAAAACUCUGUUAUUAGGGAAGAACAAACGUGUAAGUAACUGUGCACGUCUUGACGGUACCUAAUCAGAAAGCCACGGCUAACUACGUGCCAGCAGCCGCGGUAAU